UGGACGCUUGCAGUAUGUAAAAUUGUAUAAUUGUUUUUUGAAAAAGUUUAUUUCUCUAAGUAAAAAAAGUUUAACUUUUAGUGAAAGGUUAGAUUACCUAUUUUUUUACAGGGAACCUAACUUUGAACCUGAUUUUGAAAAUCACUUGUGUUUUAGAUAAUCGAACCAGGUAAUAAAACAAUUCACUCUAUGGACCCUAUGGGAGAACAGACAAAUUCCAUCAAAAAAGAAGAAGUGAAAUGGAAUUGUUACUUACAACAAAGAUAUGGUGUUUCAGAAAAGUUUGAAAUAUUAACAUUACCACAUGCCAUACGAGCUGAAGUUUGCUGAAAGUUGUAC
Hydra vulgaris (swiftwater hydra) is the source of this 339-nucleotide non-coding RNA. Lineage: Eukaryota; Metazoa; Cnidaria; Hydrozoa; Anthoathecata; Hydridae. The record is from RefSeq and is a predicted model, not a curated record.